AGAUGAUCCCGCUUACAUUUCUAAAGUCACCUCAGAGUGCUACAGGAAGUAUGUUGAAGCCCCACCAGAUGCUGUUCUCCACCAGAAGCUUAAACUAAAACAGGCUGACACCACUACUGGAGUACUCUCAUGUCUUGACAGAGAAUGCACAGAAUCAGACCUUAAAGAAAUAACUGCAUGUUGGGAACAAACAUUUCUACACAAAGGUUCGGACACAGCUCUGGUCAACUACAUCUUCUCUCAUAUCAUGUUAAGAAAUAAGGGAGCAAUCUCUCCUCUUGAUAGCAAGCAUUUAACUGCAUUUAAACAGAACACGCCCCCAGUCUCCACAGAGUCACCUGAGCCCUACAUGUUAGCCCUCCUCUUGCACUGGCCUACAGAGAGUGAGGACAACUGUGUCUUUAACCUCAGUCAAUUAAUAGAGCGUAUGAAAAACAUGUAUGAAAAAGCACAUAAGAAACACCUUCGAUCAAGGUACCUCCGGCCUCUGUUUUUCAUUGGAAAAGGUCAAGAUCUGGACAGAAUUGUUCACAGAAAGGUCCUUGAGGGACUGAUUCUUCAGGGAAAUGAGGAAGCGAUACAAGAUUGGAGCAGAGAGAUGAUUUUCAAAGAUCCCAGGGUCCAAGAACACCUUCUUAAAGUUCAUGGGGAAACACGAAACUACAGAGUCUAUGCAACUAUUGGAGGCACCAGCAUUGAGGUGGAUGCAAACCUCCGAAACAGCCUCUGGAGAAAAUGCCAAGUUUCCUUCUACCUUGGAUUUACCAUCAAAGGUCCUGUAGCCUUUGCCAUCCACACUAAAACUGCAGAAAAGGGAAUCUCAAGGAUGGAUACCUCAGAGUUUGGAGCUUGUUCCGGUGAAAUGGUAAGUUUUUUUGUUUUUGCUCUUUGCUGUAUUUUAUAUCAAUUUUGA
Molecule: long non-coding RNA, 913 nt
Filed under: Cottoperca gobio
Lineage: Eukaryota; Metazoa; Chordata; Actinopteri; Perciformes; Bovichtidae
Description: lncRNA (ENSCGOG00000012089.1)
Source: RNAcentral